RNAcentral lists this small nuclear RNA (250 nucleotides) under Nannospalax galili (Upper Galilee mountains blind mole rat). Its description in RNAcentral is "7SK RNA (ENSNGAG00000001742.1)". It matches the Rfam family "7SK RNA", at positions 1 to 279 of the family's 331-position model. Rfam says of the family: 7SK was discovered as an abundant small nuclear RNA in the mid-70s but a possible function has only recently been suggested. Two independent studies have found that 7SK RNA binds the CDK9/cyclin T complex (known as elongation factor P-TEFb). P-TEFb activates transcription by phosphorylating the C-terminal domain of RNA polymerase II. Lineage: Eukaryota; Metazoa; Chordata; Mammalia; Rodentia; Spalacidae. The record is from RNAcentral.
AAGUAUUAGAGUGAUCUGGCUACAACAUCUGUCACCUCAUAGAUUACUUAGCUAGGCAAGCGUCCCCUUCCUCCCUUGCUGUCCCAUAUAUGUCCUACCCAAACCUGCACACUCACUCUAAGGGGACAACUUUCACCAAUAGAGGAGGAUUACUCUUUGGUCAAGGGCAUAGAGUAGUUGUGCUACCCUGUUUGAACCACCAAACAAGUUCUUGAAACUUCAAGACUUUAAAUGACAAAUAUACCUCUAU